This 1974-nucleotide long non-coding RNA is filed under the name Coturnix japonica (Japanese quail). Its description in RNAcentral is "lncRNA (ENSCJPG00005003344.1)". Lineage: Eukaryota; Metazoa; Chordata; Aves; Galliformes; Phasianidae. The record is from RNAcentral.
CUGGAAACGAAAGUCUGGAGAACUUUGGAUCUGAUCGUUUCACAGUGAGGGCAUUUGGCCUCAAACACCUUUCCCAGCGCUGGUCUCCUGGAAGCUACUCCAGUCAGCUCUGUCAAAACUAAACCAGUAAAGUGUGGUAAAUAGCAGGAAAGAGGGUUAUAUGGGAGGAUUUACGGCUGGCUGCAGGACUGCCAGUGACUCACUGACCAGACAUCAGCUGCAUUGGCACAACCGGUCUAGGCUUCAUUAUGCACUAUGGGCCAACUCGUUUCUUUUGCCCUUGGCUGACAUUUUAGGAAGAUGAGGACUCUGGGAUCGGUUUCUUUACCACUCUGAUUGCUUGCCAUACAACGAACUUGAAAAUGAUAGAUGGGUCUCCAUUUUCUUGAGUUGACAGCAUCCUUUAUAAGCACAUGCAUGCCACAAGCAUUUCUGCACUUCAGGCAGAAAUUUUGUCCAAGGGGCAUUUGAAGACUGUUCACAGAAUCAGAUGGUAUACAAGAUUUUUCCAGAAGUCAAGACAGAGCAGAAGCAGAUCAGUCUGGAAGUGCUGGCUUCAUAGCACUCCACACUGCUCCACAGAAGUGUGGAGAUCAAGAGGGCAGACCAUAAGCAUUAAGGAAUGGGCCAUCCAGGUGACCUCUUGCAAAUGUACAGACUGGGUGUGGAGCACAUGUGUGUGUAUCACAGAGAUCAGCUGUUGCCAGGCCCUGCUGGGUCCCAGUCCUUACCUGUACUCCCCUUGCCAAGCAGACAAAGCAUUGGAUUCUCAUCUCAGCAGGAACUGAUCCCCUCUUUCUAAUGCAAAGCACAGGCAAAACCCACUGGAGAUACAACCUUAUGUGUCUGAAUUCACAGAGCCCAGAGCAUAAGAUGUGGAAGGCUGUUCAGUGCCUUUCUUAGCCUGAGAUGACUCAGACCUCUAUUUCCCACCUCCCAGAAAGGUUUCCUAACAGUAAAACCAGCAAUGAGGAGCCUCUGUUUCCUGACGCAGCAGCCAUGCUGUAGCUUUAUCAAAACAAGCCCACAUCUGUUUCCAUGAAAGCAACCACUAUGAUGAGACUGUUCAGCACAGCUUGACAAGGUGCCUGGAUUUUAAGAUUUAGUUUUACAAAUGCCUUCUCCAGAUUUUGCUGCUUUUCUGGGACCUGGGGACUUACACAGUCUCCUAGGUCACUGAGGUCCCUGGAUAUCACCAGGCAUCCGGUUCUCUGCUCCAGAUUCUGUGGCUGCUUGCGUGCAUGUGUCAGUCUCAUAUGUCUGCAUAACUUGCCCUGUUCUGGAGAGCAAGAUGGGGUCUGGUAUUGAAUAUGCAUCAGGGACACAUGGAUCUGAGCCCAUGGCAACCUUCACAGGACUCCUGUGGUGCAGACAGAGAGGCUGUCAGACUGACACAGCCGAGUGCCUUGUGUAUUAUCAUCUGUCUCUUCUAGCCUCCAGCUGCCUCUGUUACCGAUGGUGUUGCCCACUGGGGCUCAGAUUUGUGACUUCCCCUGCCCCACCCUAGCUCAGACUUCAGAACUGUAUUUUUACAGCCAGUUUAGUAAAACUGCAUUAAAAAGUACCGUUGCACCUCACACUUUCACCAUUCCUUUAUGUCUGCAAUAGUUUAAUCAGGGUCAUAGCAUUUUUUAAAUUACUUGCAGCAAAUGUGGUAAGUGCUUAAACAAUAGACUCCAUCCGCUCCAGAGAAGCUGUUUUAUUCUACUAAGUUAAUUAUCAGUGGUUUGAAACGUCCCUAAAUAAGUAGUUGUCUGACAGAUCAUCAUAAUGGCUCCUUCUGUUGCUCUAUGCCAACUCAUAUAUUGAUGCAAAAUAAUUUGUCUUAUUCUUUUGUUUAGAAUUUGUGAAACAAUCCUGUUGACAGAAAACAGAAAAAAAAAAAAAAAAAAAAUGUGAAAAUGUGUUUAUAGUAAUAAUGGAGUAACAGAACAAAAGCGAUUCUAGGAAAAAAUAAACUUUCUACUCUAAACA